Molecule: long non-coding RNA, 979 nt
Organism: Chenopodium quinoa (quinoa)
Lineage: Eukaryota; Viridiplantae; Streptophyta; Magnoliopsida; Caryophyllales; Amaranthaceae
Exons: 3
Source: RefSeq, a predicted model, not a curated record
CGUUACAAAAAAAAGUGCAUUAUUUGUAACGGACACUAGUUGUCCGAUACAAAUAAUUUUCUCUCUCUUUCUCUCUUCCUCCUUCAAUGGCGAAUUUACCCUAACUUUACUCUCCUUACCUCCAUUUUCUCUCUCCUACAGCCAUUGGUGAACCUCCCUUCAUUUUCACCUCCAAUUUCACCGCCUAAUUAUCUCUUGUUCUGCUAACCCCUAAGUAUUGAAGUCAAAUCGCCGCUCUCUUGUGUACAGUUCUACACCAAACUCCACGAAGUUCUCAUUAGAGAGCUUUGCUAAUGGUGCGUAGCCGUUUUUGGUGAGAAGGGAAGAAGGAUUAGCCGAUUAGGGAUCCGAGCUCAAUUUUGCAGAAGAAUUUAAAUUGCGCUAUUACUUGGUGCGAUUUCCUCUUCACAAGCGUUUUAGAGAUCUUGUUCUCAUCUACUCACUUAUGGGUUUUUGAUCUUGCGGGAUGAAGAAGAUACUUUAGACAAAGUUGCCUUAGAAAGGGAGAAUGCUGGUUAUCGGUUGUAUAUGAGGGAUGUUACUGGUGGUCAUGAUUCCCAUUUCAGCGCUUUGGAUGACCUCCUUGGUGCAGUUGGGAUUCUUGGGACCAAGGGGGAGGAUCCUCGUGCCCUAAUCGCCAUGCUGCAAGGAUUAGACUGAAAGAAGAUGAUGCAAAAGUUGCUGCACAGGCAGAGCAUAAACGGGAGCAGUCUCCUUCAGCUACUGAAAGAGAUUCUUUUGUCUCAACUGGAGGUCUUGACAAACUGAAGCCUAUAUUCUGAAUAAGCAGUGUUUUCUCAGUACAAAUUAAUAGACUCCAAAAAAUUUUCUAAAGUAAAGAUUUCUUAUCAAAAUUCCAGCUUUUGUUCUAUCAUAAUUAUGAAGUAUAUCUUGACAGCCUUGUUUGAACAGUUCUGAUUUUCUCUUGGAGUGAUCCUACUGAAUCUAAGUGAGCUCAUAUAACUUAUUUGAAUGUUUA